AAAAAGCCUCUUCCACUCCAAACAUAACAGCGCUACCUCAGCAAGACUGAUUUCUGCAUUUCUUCUGAAGGUUGAUGACAUUAUUUUACAGUGAUAUUAUUCUAUUUUCCCACUUACAAGCAAUGUGUGAACAGCAAAGCUGACUUACACAGUUUACCAUCACCCUUCAUACAGCAAUUGGUCACUUGUGACUCAAUUUCAAAUGCAGAAGUGUCUCUGAAGUUUCUUGGUCAAACGGAGGUUCAAAGAGAAGUCUUCUGUCUAGGAAGUCCAGGUUUUUCUGCAGAUUAA
This 291-nucleotide long non-coding RNA is filed under the name Anser brachyrhynchus (Pink-footed goose). Its description in RNAcentral is "lncRNA (ENSABRG00000019324.1)". The record is from RNAcentral. Lineage: Eukaryota; Metazoa; Chordata; Aves; Anseriformes; Anatidae.